This 218-nucleotide long non-coding RNA is filed under the name Glycine max (soybean). RNAcentral's name for it is "long non-coding RNA (GMAX_LNC001697)". The record is from RNAcentral. Lineage: Eukaryota; Viridiplantae; Streptophyta; Magnoliopsida; Fabales; Fabaceae.
AAAGAUUUUGCUUGGAGUCUAGAUUUUGGGCAUUAUUACUAUGUUUGAAUUUGGCCAGGUGUGAAUACAGCCCAUGCAGUGUUGAAAAAUGAAAAUCAUGCAACCUAGACUAGAACCAGCUUUUGCUUCCUAAACAAAUCUUGAAUCACAAAUUCUAACUUUAUAGCUAGAAAGCACUCCAGUUGCAAGUGUGUUCCGCUUUUGGCAGUUCUACCCAC